This 748-nucleotide ribosomal RNA is filed under the name Pediococcus pentosaceus. Its description in RNAcentral is "bacterial SSU rRNA". It matches the Rfam family "Bacterial small subunit ribosomal RNA", at positions 51 to 754 of the family's 1533-position model. Lineage: Bacteria; Bacillati; Bacillota; Bacilli; Lactobacillales; Lactobacillaceae. The record is from RNAcentral.
AUACAUGCAAGUCGAACGAACUUCCGUUAAUUGAUUAUGACGUACUUGUACUGAUUGAGAUUUUAACACGAAGUGAGUGGCGAACGGGUGAGUAACACGUGGGUAACCUGCCCAGAAGUAGGGGAUAACACCUGGAAACAGAUGCUAAUACCGUAUAACAGAGAAAACCGCAUGGUUUUCUUUUAAAAGAUGGCUCUGCUAUCACUUCUGGAUGGACCCGCGGCGUAUUAGCUAGUUGGUGAGGUAAAGGCUCACCAAGGCAGUGAUACGUAGCCGACCUGAGAGGGUAAUCGGCCACAUUGGGACUGAGACACGGCCCAGACUCCUACGGGAGGCAGCAGUAGGGAAUCUUCCACAAUGGACGCAAGUCUGAUGGAGCAACGCCGCGUGAGUGAAGAAGGGUUUCGGCUCGUAAAGCUCUGUUGUUAAAGAAGAACGUGGGUAAGAGUAACUGUUUACCCAGUGACGGUAUUUAACCAGAAAGCCACGGCUAACUACGUGCCAGCAGCCGCGGUAAUACGUAGGUGGCAAGCGUUAUCCGGAUUUAUUGGGCGUAAAGCGAGCGCAGGCGGUCUUUUAAGUCUAAUGUGAAAGCCUUCGGCUCAACCGAAGAAGUGCAUUGGAAACUGGGAGACUUGAGUGCAGAAGAGGACAGUGGAACUCCAUGUGUAGCGGUGAAAUGCGUAGAUAUAUGGAAGAACACCAGUGGCGAAGGCGGCUGUCUGGUCUGCAACUGACGCUGAGGCUC